Molecule: ribosomal RNA, 1888 nt
Filed under: Halorubrum trapanicum
Lineage: Archaea; Methanobacteriati; Methanobacteriota; Halobacteria; Halobacteriales; Haloferacaceae
Description: partial 23S ribosomal RNA
Rfam family: Archaeal large subunit ribosomal RNA
Source: RNAcentral
AGACGAAGGGAGUCCGGUGCGCGGGGUAAGCCUGUGUACCGUGAGGGGAACAACCCAGAGCCGGGUUAAGGUCCCAAAGUGUAGAUUAAGUGCGAUUCGAAGGUGGUCUCAAGCCCUAAACAGCCGGGAGGUGAGCUUAGAAGCAGCUACCCGCUAAGAAAAGCGUAACAGCUUACCGGCCGAGGUUUGAGGCGCCCAAAAUGAUCGGGGCUCAAAUCUACCACCGAGACCUGGCCGUGCCCUUGACAGGGGCAACCGCGUAGGUUGGCGUACUGGUCGGACGGAAGCCCGGGCGAGAGCUCGUGUGGACCGUCCAGUAACGACAAUCCUGGUCACAGUAGCAGCGAUAGUCGGGUGAGAACCUCGACGGCCUGAAGAGCAAGGGUUCCUCGGCACUGCCGUUCAGCCGAGGGUUAGCCGGUCCUAAGGUGUACCACAACUUGACUACACCGACGGGAAGCUGGUUAAUAUUCCAGCGCCAUCGUGCAGUAAACGCCGACGCCGUGUGGACCGCUGAGCCGGGCACUCGCCCGGUCGAAUCGCGGAAACUCGUGGAAACCGUCAUGGUACGAAGCGAGCGAAGCGCGAAACAGCGAAAGUCAGCCGUACAUAGGGCCCGUGAAAAGGCAAGCACGAUGUCCGUACCGAGAUCCGACACAGGUGCUCUGGCAGCGCAAGCCAAGGCCUGUCGGGAGAACCGACGUUAGGGAAUUCGGCAAGUUAGUCCCGUACCUUCGGAAGAAGGGAUGCCUGCUCUCUGAGGAGCAGGUCGCAGUGACUCGGGCGCUCCGACUGUCUAGUAACAACACAGGUGACCGCAAAUCCGCAAGGACUCGUACGGUCACUGAAUCCUGCCCAGUGCGGGUAUCUGAACACCUCGUACAAGAGGACGAAGGACCCGUCAACGGCGGGGGUAACUAUGACCCUCUUAAGGUAGCGUAGUACCUUGCCGCUUCAGUAGCGGCUUGCAUGAAUGGAUAAACGAGAGCGCCACUGUCCCAACGUUGGACCCGGUGAACUGUACGUUCCAGUGCGGAGUCUGGAGACCCCCAAGGGGAAGCGAAGACCCUAUAGAGCUUUACUGCAGGCUGUCGCUGAGACGUGGUCGCCGAUGUGCAGCAUAGGUAGGAGACAUUACACAGGUACGUGCGCUAGCACGCCACCGAGUCAACAUUGAAAUACUACCCGUCGGUGACUGCGACUCUCACUCCGGGAGGAGUACACCGGUAGCCGGGCAGUUUGACUGGGGCGGUACGCGCUCGAAAAGAUAUCGAGCGCGCCCGAAGAUCAUCUCAGCCGGGUCGGGAAUCCGGCGAAGAGCGCAAGAGCACAAGAUGGUCUGACAGUGUUCUUCCCAACGAGGAACGCUGACGCGAAAGCGUGGUCUAGCGAACCUACGAGGUUCCGGAAUGGGACCCGUAGAUGACAGAAAAGCUACCUUAGGGAUAACAGAGUCGUCACUCGCAAGAGCACAUAUCGACCGAGUGGCUUGCUACCUCGAUGUCGGUUCCCUCCAUCCUGCCCGUGCAGACGCGGGCAAGGGUGAGGUUGUUCGCCUAUUAAAGGAGGUCGUGAGCUGGGUUUAGACCGUCGUGAGACAGGUCGGCUGCUAUCUAUUGGGGGUGUGAGGUACCUGACGUGAACGAACGUAUAGUACGAGAGGAACUACGUUUGGUCGCCACUGGUGUAUCGGUUGUCCGGAAGGGCAGCUGCCGAGUAGCCACGCGACACGGGGUAAGAGCUGAACGCAUCUAAGCUCGAAACCCACAUGGAAAAGAGGUACCACAGAGGUCACUCGUAGAAGACGAGUUCGAUAGACUCGGGGUGUACGCACCGAGGCAACGAGGUGUUAAGCCCACGAGAACUAACAGACCGAGCCACAUUCAUU